RNAcentral lists this ribosomal RNA (254 nucleotides) under uncultured bacterium. RNAcentral describes it as "partial 16S ribosomal RNA". It matches the Rfam family "Bacterial small subunit ribosomal RNA", at positions 524 to 776 of the family's 1533-position model. The record is from RNAcentral.
UACGUAGGGUCCGAGCGUUGUCCGGAUUUAUUGGGCGUAAAGAGCUCGUAGGCGGUUCCGUAAGUCAGAUGUGAAAACUCAGGGCUCAACCCGGAGACGCCAUCUGAUACUGCGGUGACUGGAGUCUGGUAGGGGAACACGGAAUUCCUGGUGUAGCGGUGAAAUGCGUAGAUAUCGAGAGGAACACCUGCGGCGAAGGCGGGUUGCUGGGCUGACACUGACGCUGAUGCGCGAAAGCUAGGGGAGCGAACGGG